Molecule: long non-coding RNA, 1946 nt
Filed under: Vulpes vulpes (red fox)
Lineage: Eukaryota; Metazoa; Chordata; Mammalia; Carnivora; Canidae
Description: lncRNA (ENSVVUG00000013396.1)
Source: RNAcentral
AUGAAGACACAGGGGCAAUCAAAGCUGGAUUUUCUGCCUUGGAAAGGGUUGACACCAGUCUGCAUUUUCCCUGACCUGAGCAUGACGGGACAGACAAAGGGAUCAAAAGUGACUUCAUCUGUGACAGACACUAGCACAUUGGAACACUGUUGUUUUACUUCUAAAGAAGCAGACCGUUUGAUCAACGCACAAGGCAAGGAGAGGUGUUUUCGGAUUAAGGGCAUCAGACCGUGUUUUCUCCAUUGGCGCUUAGAGCUCUCUAUAGACAAUCAGCAUUUUGGAGUUUACUCAAAGUGUGCGUGUUCAUCACCUCACUUCACCCUGCUAACAGCUCCGUGAGGGGGGCAAACCAGGUUCUCGUUCAUUCGGUCACCAGGUUGUCAGGGCAUCACUCUGUGCCAGGAGCUGUGAGGGUGCUGCUGGCAACGCAUGUGCAAAAUGUGACAGAAGGAGAAAUUGAGGCUCAGGGAGCCAGUGUGGUUUUGCCAAGCAGUACAGAGCUGUUCUGUGGGGCAACUGGAACUCACACCCGGCUCUGCUCAGUGGGUGGGCCUUUCCUGUGUGCACGUACCCUGCUGCCCAUUUCUGCACACAGAAAUUCAGACGACGAUCAGCGUCUCCUGUCGCUCCCUUCCUCUUCCUUUCUUCUCCUGAUUUACAUAUUGCUAAAUGAUGAAAUUAUACAGUACAUAAUUCCACAGCAACUCUGCUGCUUAAAAAAAAAUCGGGAAUGGAGUAAUUAGGCAGAAAGGAUUCUCAAUUAGGCAGUGGAUUCUGUUUCUAAAGCAGUAAAUGGGGAAGAGAUAUUUUUUAACUGUCUCUUGAAUAUAUUGCCAUGGAAUGAUUGCUGCCUUGUAGAGCAGCAGUGCGUCUCGGAAAUGGAACCCUGUGGGCUGGCCUCAGAGCUGUGUUUUGUGUCUGAAUUUCCUGCCUAGUUCUAGAACUUCGGGUUCUGGAUGUAACCUCACACUUAGGGUCUCUGGCAUGAAGAUAGGCAUUCAAGACUGACACUUAAUGCUACAUGUCUUCUCUUGUUUCUUUGUGUUUAGGUGGGUAAUGGGAAAAGGAGCAUCCAGAGGUCUUGCCAGGAUCCUUUGUACUGGGAAGCAACAGAAAAUGAUGGAAGGUACCGUCAUUUGGGUUUCCCAGGGCUGGUCUUGGAUUCCUGACGUGUCACCUUGGGUGGCCUUGAAGAAUUCCACCUCUCUGAGCUUCAGUGGGCUAAUGAACAUUGGCAAUCCCAACCCCAUACAAUGAUAGUGAGGAUGGUAGGAGGUAAUAGUAGAAUCUAGCAUAUGGUAGGAGUAAGUGGAAGGCUCUUUCCCUAACUUAAGAGGGAAUGUUCACCAUGUCCAAAUUGAGGAAGGGUUGCCAUUGGGUAAAGGGGAUAGAUUUGUUGAAAUAACCUCUCUGUGGGAUCAGAGGAUGUAACUAGAAUCAGUCAGUAGAAAUUCAAGUCGCUUAUAGCUCAGCAUAAAAAUAGUGACUUUUUGUAAAGUUGUUCAAUAGUAGAGUUCAUCAGAGGUGAGUUUCCCAUCACUGGAGAUAAUCAAGUAAUGGCUCAACAAUUAUUCAGAAAAGAUGCUUAAAGUGGAUUCCUGCUGCCAGUAAAAGUUGAACAGUUUGACAUCUUAGGUCUUUUCGAAAAGUGAAAUUCCAUGAUUCUGACCAUGGUCUCUUUCCUUUUAUAGCAUGAAGAAAGGACCAAAGACACCUAGUUCCUGUGCAAGGACUUGUCUCUGCUUCAAGGAAAAUGAGCUUAGAUGUGCUAACCUUGAAGAUCCUGGCCUUUCUCCUUCAGCUAUGCACGGUGUCUCAUUGUGCCCAUAGGCCAUGAUUUCCAGGAGACUGUUAAAAAGAAUCAUAGACCAAGUUUAGACUAGAGGCAAGAGAGUGGGCCUCCUGGCUUCCUGCGUCUUCUUAUGCAAAAUAAAGUCUUAAAGGAC